CCUACGGGUGGCAGCAGUGGGGAAUAUUGCACAAUGGGGGAAACCCUGAUGCAGCAACGCCGCGUGAGUGAGGAAGUAUUUCGGUAUGUAAAGCUCUAUCAGCAGGUGAUAAACAAGCAGUUACCUGAAAAAAAACCCCCGGCUAACUACUUGCCAGCAGCCGCGUUCAUACGAAUGUGACAAGCGUUACCCGGAUUUAUUGGUUGUAAAGGGAGCGUAGCCGGAACGGGAAGUCAGAAGUGAAAACCACAGGCUCAAACAGGGAAAUGCUUUUGAACCUGUCCAACUAGAGUACUGGAGAGGUAAGGGGAAGUGCUAGUGGAGCUGUGAAAUGCGUAGAUAUUAGGAGGAACACCAGUGGCGAAGGCGUCUUGCUGGACCGAAACUGACGUUGAGGCUCGAAAGCGUGGGGAGCAAACAGGAUUAGAUACCCGGGUAGUC
Molecule: ribosomal RNA, 441 nt
Filed under: uncultured bacterium
Lineage: Bacteria
Description: partial 16S ribosomal RNA
Rfam family: Bacterial small subunit ribosomal RNA
Source: RNAcentral